CGUUCAGUGCGCUCGAGCUCUCUGUGAGAUUCUUCCGACGACGCGGCGUAAAAAGCCUCUUAACGAGUCGACUCUCAGCCGUCUGACGACCCGGAGCGCCGUGAUUUUCAGGGGCGAGAAGGAGGCACCUUGUGUGCGGCUUCCAGCUAAAGGAGAGGGGGCGAGGGGGGACAGACGUGGCUGAGCCCGUGGAGAAAGCCCUGGUUUAGCCAGAAGACACGCAAGAGGUCCAAGUGGCCUCCAAAUAAAGGAAGAAAAGAAAAAACAAAGUGACAUAGAGCAGAGUCUUUGCUGAGAUUCCUCCUCCGAACUGGUCCCCGAAUACCCCAUGCAGCAGGUGGAAACAGUUGGACGUGGUCAAACGUCUGCAUGCUAUGAGGACAUUAGAUGAGUUCAUGCUUGUUCCGUGAAAUCUUGUCACAUAUUUUGUGCCAAGAAAAAUCCUGGAACUCUGUAGGUGCAGCAGCCAAACAUUGGAAGCUUCUUUCCUUCUGCCUUAG
Molecule: long non-coding RNA, 500 nt
Organism: Poeciliopsis prolifica (blackstripe livebearer)
Lineage: Eukaryota; Metazoa; Chordata; Actinopteri; Cyprinodontiformes; Poeciliidae
Exons: 3
Source: RefSeq, a predicted model, not a curated record